This is a long non-coding RNA of Oreochromis aureus, 3254 nucleotides long. Lineage: Eukaryota; Metazoa; Chordata; Actinopteri; Cichliformes; Cichlidae. The record is from Ensembl.
UCUCAUCCAGUUUUAGUUUUAUUUCUCUUUAGAAAAAAAAAAAAAAAUCUCUUCACUUCAGUACAUACACAUUGCACAAGGCAGGGAGCCAUUUUUUUAAACUGACUUUUUUAAAACCAUUUUUUCCCCAAAUCAGAGUUAAAAGCAGCAGCGGAACUGACGCUGACAACCAGCACUGGGAUUCCCAAAACUUCCCAAAUGCAGGCGAGCCAAGGUGAACAACCAGCACUGAAAUCCAGCAGACAGAAAACAGGCACCCCCCCACCCCCACUGAGGCCACCAUAGAGCAUCCAAACAAGCUUUGAUUCAACAACUACAUCUUUCAUCACCAUCUAAUGUUAAGUUGAACUUAGAUGAAGAAAUAACCUUGGUAACGAAGUAAAUGGAAAUGUAUACAAACAAGUGGCAAUAAAUGUAAAAUAUAUAUAUCUCCAAUUGGCAAAUUUAACACAAUUACAUGUUAAUGUCACAAAACUUAGUAUCUAGUUAAUCUAAUCAAUCACAGCACAAUUAGCCAACAGUUUUAAAUUACAGCCCCAAUAGACUUAUUGGCAAAGGUAAUAACUCUGUCUUGUCUUGAUGCAUUUUCUGUCUGCAUUGGGAUUGUGAGUCGUGCUUGGGAAACCUGGCCCUGAACAGUUAAAACAACUUUAUCAACGGACAGAUUGCUGGUGUAGAAUAUAUCAUAUUAAUAUUUACAAAAUCUCUGUACAAUCAAAUACACAAUAUCUGCCCCGCCAGUCAAGCAUUCCAGAAAACAGUUAAAAGGCUGGAUGUCUUCUCGUACCAGGAUGUUCGACCAGAUUAACAACCUCUGAGGAAAUGUUAGGAAAAUGGUGUGAAAGAUACUAGACAAGCAAAAGGUCAGAGGAACAUGUCAUCACAGUGGCUUGUAUUUAAUAUUAGGUUUCACUAACACUACAGAGCUCCAGGACAUUUAAAAGACUUUUUUUUCCCCUCAAACAUCCAUCCAACAUGAUAGACUGGAUUAGGAGAACAUCUGGCACCAUUCAAAAUAACUGUCACACACACAUCUGGAAAAAAAAAAAAAAAAAAAGCUUCUUCUGCUGCAUAAUUGGGUCUGAAACAUCCUGAUUACGAGCAUCCACCUCGAUUAGUGUUAACUAAAUCAGCAGGACAGAAACUUCAGGAGGAGAAACUCUCUCUCCAUCAAGAUUCAAACAGGAUUUCUCAGAAGGAAAAGCUAACAGGGUUGCAUAUCUUUUAGAGUAACAUCAAGUCAAAUCAACUCUGGUAGGUAUUAAAGAAGAGAUGUGUCUUUGUUAGACGGGACAAAGAUAUCAACAGACGAAAUACUGCAUAGCUUGUUGGUUAGAUUUCACUAUGAUGACAUAACAUUUGCAGUUCAGUGGACACUGUAAGCCAAGGCUCUGUACAGUACAUAGAAAUACAUACUGGUCUGAAUACAGAUAGUCCCUCCCUAUGGGAAAUAAAACACCAAAAAAGUGUUAGUGAUGUUCAAAUAGCAAACUCUCUAAAUUCAGACUGCUGUGAAAGCAGACAGACACCCACACUGAUCACUUAUGAUAACAGAAAAACCCACCACUUAGUAGUUAAUUUCCUUAAAAGGACUUAAUUCUUGUUUCACAUUUUAUCUACAGCAUGAUGCAGUUCCAUAAACAUUUUAUCUGAAAAAUUUAAAACCCAGCAAGUGUUCUCAUUAGAAACAGUGAAGCUGCAACAGUAUGCAACUACACCAGUUAGUUUCAACAAUACUAAACGUAUCUAAACUCAAUAUUAUCCCAUAAUCCCACAACAGUCUAUAACACCAGCUUCAAAUUUCUGGAGUAUGAAAAUUAUGUAAUAGCUUGCAAUUGUUAGUGGGGAUAUAGGGGUAAACAGUAAAAUUAACAACAUAUCAUUUAUGUUCUACAGUGACUAUGUAUCAUCUCAAAAUGAUUCCCCUAACACCAAGUAAAAAGAUACAACCACUGGUUUCCAUAAAAAGAUGUUCCCCUGUGCUGCGAAACAAUGUUCUGCAGGACAGUGGUGAUAUGUGUUCAAAAAGUAAAACUUGCUAAGAGAAACUCAACGCUUUCCCACAGAUUUCUGCACAUUGACAGAUUAUGAUGGCUGGAAGCAAUUACACUGGUCUGUUGGGCCAACUGAAAUCAAUGGAAACAUCAAUAGAGAACAAAACAAACAAAAAACAGGCAUUUUAGACAUUUUGAAAUCACACACACACACACACACACACACACACACACACACACACACACACACACACACACACACACACACACACACACACACACAAAGAUGCCAACUCACAUUAUCACUCCUUACUGGCCACAAAAAAAUAAGGAUAAAAAAAAAAGACAGUCACAACCUCUAUCAAAAUAAAAUAAAAAACAAAGGAAACGAAAGCUAGCACUGAAGGUUAAUGUUGUUUAUGUACCAAGAUCCACUUGGGACUGCAGGUGGACACUUUGAUAUUCAGACUCUGAAUGGGUAUUAACUGCAAUGAAUCUUCUGUUACAGUACAAAUGAAAAGAAAAAAAAAGCAAGAGUAAAACUUAAAACUUGUAAAAAUGAGGUUAAGUAGCAGGGAACUGAAGGGCACAAACACGGUGCAACCAGGCUAACACAUGUUAAAAGGCAAAUGAUUUGGUUUUUUAGAUUAAAUGAAGGGGUGGCACAAGGUAUCAAACUCCAGCCUGAUUUUAAAGCAGACUGGCACCUGACAGAUUGAGGUCACUAAUUAACAUCCAAACAUCAGUUGGUACAAGGCAAAGGGGGGAAAACAGAAAAAGAAAAACACACAGAGAAGAAAGCAUAGCUUGUGUCACAGUUUGCAGUGUCAUCACAGCUAAAAGAAAACAUCAGGGAACAUUGAUCAUUUUCGAGGAAGCAAUUGCAAAACCUCUCUUCACAAUAUUAUGCCUCCAUUAUUUCACUACACUAUUACUCAAAACACUUGCAUAAGUGACGGCAUUUACAUUGAUCAAGCCAUUACAAAGCUUAUAAAGCCUGUUAACCUUUCAGCAGAAAUUGAAUACCAACUUUUAGUAUGAAUCACACUAGCUGGACUACAAUGAGACAGAUAACCCAAACCAUUUGUCAAAAAAAAAAAAAAAAAAAAAAAAAGUACAAUUUUCUAUUUUGAUUCUGUUCAAUCACCAAAUGGGAAACAAUGAGGCAUUUUCAAUUCACAAGAAAAUCUUUUUAGAUGUUAUUGCACUAUGGGUGUCAGUUUAAAAUAAACAUUUCACAAAAAGUGGCCUAUGAGCCUA